This 446-nucleotide ribosomal RNA is filed under the name uncultured bacterium. Its description in RNAcentral is "partial 16S ribosomal RNA". It matches the Rfam family "Bacterial small subunit ribosomal RNA", at positions 338 to 795 of the family's 1533-position model. The record is from RNAcentral.
CCUACGGGUGGCAGCAGUCGAGAAUCAUUCACAAUGGGGGAAACCCUGAUGGUGCGACGCCGCGUGGGGGAAUGAAGGUCUUCGGUUUGUAAACCCCUGUCAUGUGGGAGCAAAUUAAAAAGAUAGUACCACAAGAGGAAGAGACGGCUAACGCUGUGCCAGCAGCCGCGGUAAUACAGAGGUCUCAAGCGUUGUUCGGAAUCACUGGGCGUAAAGCGUGCGUAGGCUGUUUCGUAAGUCGUGUGUGAAAGGCGCGGGCUCAACCCGCGGACGGCACAUGAUACUGCGAGACUAGAGUAAUGGAGGGGGAACCGGAAUUCUCGGUGUAGCAGUGAAAUGCGUAGAUAUCGAGAGGAACACUCGUGGCGAAGGCGGGUUCCUGGACAUUAACUGACGCUGAGGCACGAAGGCCAGGGGAGCGAAAGGGAUUAGAUACCCCAGUAGUC